This 433-nucleotide ribosomal RNA is filed under the name uncultured bacterium. Its description in RNAcentral is "partial 16S ribosomal RNA". It matches the Rfam family "Bacterial small subunit ribosomal RNA", at positions 29 to 507 of the family's 1533-position model. The record is from RNAcentral.
AACGAACGCUGGCGGCAUGCCUAACACAUGCAAGUCGAACGAGACCUUCGGGCCUAGUGGCGCACGGGUGCGUAACGCGUGGGAUCCUGCCCUUGGGUUCGGAAUAACUCCCCGAAAGGGGUGCUAAUACCGGAUAAUGUCUUCGGACCAAAGAUUUAUCGCCUUUGGAUGGGCCCGCGUUGGAUUAGCUAGUUGGUAGGGUACAAGCCUACCAAGGCGACGAUCCAGAGCUGGUCUGAGAGGAUGAUCAGCCACACUGGGACUGAGACACGGCCCAGACUCCUACGGGGGGCAGCAGAGGGGAAUAUUGUACAAUGGGCGAAAGCGUGAUCCAGCAAUGCCGCGUGAGUGAUGAAGGCCUUAGGGUUGUAAAGCCCUUUUACCCGGGAUGAUAAUGACAGUACCGGGAGAAGAAGCUCCGGCUAACUCCGUG